This 256-nucleotide ribosomal RNA is filed under the name uncultured bacterium. Its description in RNAcentral is "partial 16S ribosomal RNA". It matches the Rfam family "Bacterial small subunit ribosomal RNA", at positions 521 to 776 of the family's 1533-position model. The record is from RNAcentral.
UAAGACGAAGGGGGCUAGCGUUGUUCGGAAUUACUGGGCGUAAAGAGCGCGUAGGCGGUUUGAUAAGUCGGGAGUGAAAGCCUGGGGCUCAACCUCAGAACUGCUUCCGAAACUAUCUGGCUAGAGUUUGGUAGGGGGUGAUAGAAUUCCUAGUGUAGAGGUGAAAUUCUUAGAUAUUAGGAGGAAUACCGGUGGCGAAGGCGAUCACCUGGGCCAUAACUGACGCUGAGGCGCGAAAGCGUGGGGAGCAAACAGG